CUCUGGUCGUCCGAGUUGUAGUCUGGAGAAGCGUUUUCUGUGUUGGACCGUGUAUAAGUCUCUUGGAACAGGGCGUCAUAGAGGGUGAGAAUCCCGUCUUUGACACGGACUACCGAUGCUUUGUGAUGCGCUCUCAAAGAGUCGAGUUGUUUGGGAAUGCAGCUCAAAAUGGGUGGUAAAUUCCAUCUAAAGCUAAAUACAGGCGAGAGACCGAUAGCGAACAAGUACCGUGAGGGAAAGAUGAAAAGCACUUUGGAAAGAGAGUUAAACAGUACGUGAAAUUGCUGAAAGGGAAACGCUUGAAGUCAGUCAUGUCUGCCAGGACUCAGCCUUGCUUCUGCUCGGUGCACUUUCUGGUUGGAUGGGCCAGCAUCAAUUUCGACCAUUGGAGAAAGGCUUUGGGAAUGUGGCACCUUUGGGUGUGUUAUAGCCCUUUGUCGUAUGCGACGGUUGGGAUUGAGGACCGCAGCAUGCCUUUACGGCCGGGGUUUGCCCACGUACGUGCUUAGGAUGUUGGCAUAAUGGCUUUAAGCGACCCGUCUUGAAACACGGACCAAGGAGUCUAACAUGCCCGCGAGUGUUUGGGUGGAAAACCCAUGCGCGUAAUGAAAGUGACAGCUGAGAUCCUCUCAUCAGGAGCAUCAGCACCUGGACUCGAUCUACGGAGACGGUUCUACGGUAGAGCGUGUAUGUUGGGACCCGAAAGAUGGUGAACUAUGCCUGAAUAGGGUGAAGCCAGAGGAAACU
Molecule: ribosomal RNA, 747 nt
Filed under: Thelephora nebula
Lineage: Eukaryota; Fungi; Basidiomycota; Agaricomycetes; Thelephorales; Thelephoraceae
Description: Thelephora sp. RSY-2022c partial large subunit ribosomal RNA
Rfam family: Eukaryotic large subunit ribosomal RNA
Source: RNAcentral